Molecule: ribosomal RNA, 389 nt
Filed under: uncultured bacterium
Lineage: Bacteria
Description: bacterial SSU rRNA
Rfam family: Bacterial small subunit ribosomal RNA
Source: RNAcentral
GACGAACGCUGGCGGCGUGCUUAACACAUGCAAGUCGAGCGGUAAGGCCCUUUCGGGGGUACGACGAGCGGCGAACGGGUGAGUAACACGUGGGUGACCUGCCCUCAGCUCUGGGAUAAGCCUGGGAAACUAGGGUCUAAUACUGGAUAUGACUCCACGGUGCAUGUCGUGGGGUGGAAAGCCUUGUGCGGCUGAGGAUGGGCCCGCGGCCUAUCAGCUUGUUGGUGGGGUGAUGGCCUACCAAGGCGACGACGGGUAGCCGGCCUGAGAGGGCGACCGGCCACACUGGGACUGAGACACGGCCCAGACUCCUACGGGAGGCAGCAGUGGGGAAUCUUGCGCAAUGGGCGAAAGCCUGACGCAGCGACGCCGCGUGAGGGAUGACGGCC